RNA transcript from Pongo pygmaeus (Bornean orangutan), 1692 nucleotides. RefSeq lists it as uncharacterized. The record is from RefSeq and is a predicted model, not a curated record. NCBI's taxonomy places the organism in Eukaryota, Metazoa, Chordata, Mammalia, Primates, Hominidae. The transcript has 4 exons.
UUAGCUCUUGUCUGCUGGACAACAGUCUUCCUCCUCCAGUGUUCAAAAGGAACUACAGAUGCUCCUGUUGGCUCAGGACUGUGACUGUGCCAGCCGGCGCCCAGGUGUGGGAACAAGAUCUAUAACCCUUCAGAGCAGUGCUGUUAUGAUGAUGCCAUCUUGUCCUUAAAGGAGACCCGCCGCUGUGGCUCCACCUGCACCUUCUGGCCCUGCUUUGAGCUCUGCUGUCCCAAGUCUUUUGGCCCCCAGCAGAAGUUUCUUGUGAAGUUGAGGGUUCUGGGUAUGAAGUCUCAGUGUCACUUAUCUCCCAUCUCCCGGAGCUGUACCAGGUGAAUUUUAAAUUCUAUCUGAAAUCAGUAAGAUACCUUGAGAAAAACUGCAGUGAGAGGAGAGACAGGAUUUCAUCAUGUUACCCAGACUGGAUUCAAACCCCUGAGCUCAAGCAAUUUGCCUGCCUUGACCUCCCAAAGUGCUGGGACUAUAGGAGUGAGCCACCAGUAUAGUGGUGCCUGGAACUUUCUAAGCACUGAAAAAUGUACAUGUUCCAUCAAAUGUGUAUCUUGCAUGCAAGUAAAUUAUUUUAAAAAGGGCUAUAAAUUGGAUAUGAAUUAAAAAUAAACCUAAGGCUUCUUAAGUUUAUUUUUUUAAUUUUUAACUUUAAAUUGACAAAUUAUAGUUGUAUUUAUGGGGUGCAGCAUGACUGAUGAAUUCAAUGUGGAAUAAUUAAACUCAAGGAAAUUAACAUAUCUAUUACCUUCAAUAUUUCUCAUUUUUUUGUGGUAAGAACACUUGAAAUUUACUCUCUUACUAGUUCUGAAAUAGACAAUACAUUGUUUUUUUACUGUAUGCAUCAUGCUAUGCAAUAACCAAAUUAUAGAAGUUCAUAAUAUCUGUAUCUCCUUGGUAAAUUUCUCAUUCAUAUCCCAAGCUGAAUUUCUGAUUUCUCUGUAUUGGUUUUCAGAUUUCUAUUGCAUUGCAUUUUCUUUAAGAUCAGUAUUUUUAAUUCUUUAUCUGGCAUUUUGAGGAAUUCUUUGUUAUUGGGAUCUGUUGCUGGAAAAUUGUUAUGAUCUUUCAUGUGGUACCCUAUCUUCCUGCUUUUUCAUGGUGACUGUGUCCUUCUGUUGACAUCUACACAUCUGGUGCAGCAGUCAAGUCUGUUAAAGUCAAGUUUGUUAAAAUUGCUUUUGUAGGGGAUAAUUUUUUCCUGAGGAUAUAUGUUGUUAAGACACUUUGAUUUGGGGCACUGUGAUAGGAACAGGAGGCAGGGAAAUUCUAGGCAGAAAAGGGCAGGGUCCCUGGUAAGAGACCCACCCUCGAGGCUGGAACCAUGGCCCAGAGGGGGAACUUUACAUCCCCGUUUUCCUGCUCAAAUGUUGCCUUUUCCAAAACCACCCCUGGCCUGCAACCCCCCCACAUCCUGUACCCAUAAAAACCCCAGCCUCCACUGGCAGACAGCAGACAAGGGGAGAAGAGGCGAAGCAGCUGGACAUCGGAGACUACAGUUGAACUUCAGAGAGAAGCAACUUGACUUCAGAGGGAUGGCUCGAUGGCAUAGCUUUGGAGAGGAGCCCAGCUGGGGAUGGCCAGACUUCAGGGGAAGAAUACCUUCCUGCUUCAUCCCCUUUCCAGCUCCCCUUCCCGCUGAGAGCCACUUUCAUUGGCAAUAAAAUCCCCCACAUUUACCAUCUUCAA